UACGUAGGGUGCGAGCGUUGUCCGGAAUUAUUGGGCGUAAAGAGCUUGUAGGCGGUUUGUCGCGUCUGCCGUGAAAGUCCGGGGCUCAACCCCGGAUCUGCGGUGGGUACGGGCAGACUAGAGUUGAUGUAGGGGGAGACUGGAAAUUCCCUGGUGUAGCGGUGAAAUGCGCAGAUAUCAGGAGGAACACCGAUGGCGAAGGCAGGUCUCUGGGCAUUAACUGACGCUGAGGAGCGAAAGCAUGGGGAGCGAACAGG
This 257-nucleotide ribosomal RNA is filed under the name uncultured bacterium. Its description in RNAcentral is "partial 16S ribosomal RNA". It matches the Rfam family "Bacterial small subunit ribosomal RNA", at positions 524 to 776 of the family's 1533-position model. The record is from RNAcentral.